RNAcentral lists this ribosomal RNA (396 nucleotides) under uncultured bacterium. Its description in RNAcentral is "bacterial SSU rRNA". It matches the Rfam family "Bacterial small subunit ribosomal RNA", at positions 29 to 416 of the family's 1533-position model. The record is from RNAcentral.
AACGAACGCUGGCGGCGCGCCUAAUACAUGCAAGUCGAGCGAGAAGACGUAGCAAUACGUUUGUAAAGCGGCGAACGGGUGAGGAAUACAUGGGUAACCUACCCUCGAGUGGGGAAUAACUAGCCGAAAGGUUAGCUAAUACCGCGUACGCUCCUUGGACUUCGGUUCAGGGAGGAAAGCGAUACCGUGGGUAUCGCGCUCUUGGAUGAGCUCAUGUCCUAUCAGCUUGUUGGGAGGUAACGGCUCACCAAGGCUUCGACGGGUAGCUGGUCUGAGAGGACAAUCAGCCACACUGGCACUGCGACACGGGCCAGACUCCUACGGGAGGCAGCAGUAAGGAAUAUUGCGCAAUGGGCGAAAGCCUGACGCAGCGACGCCGCGUGGGGGAUGAAGGUC